This 71-nucleotide transfer RNA is filed under the name Loxodonta africana (African savanna elephant). It matches the Rfam family "tRNA". Rfam says of the family: Transfer RNA (tRNA) molecules are approximately 80 nucleotides in length. Their secondary structure includes four short double-helical elements and three loops (D, anti-codon, and T loops). Lineage: Eukaryota; Metazoa; Chordata; Mammalia; Proboscidea; Elephantidae. The record is from Rfam by way of RNAcentral.
ACAUUGGUGGUUCAGUGGUAGAAUUUUCGCCUUCCAUGCAGGAGACCCUGGUUCGAUUCCUGGCCAAUGCA